RNAcentral lists this ribosomal RNA (1346 nucleotides) under metagenome. RNAcentral describes it as "bacterial LSU rRNA". It matches the Rfam family "Bacterial large subunit ribosomal RNA", at positions 1588 to 2912 of the family's 2925-position model. The record is from RNAcentral.
AAUUCAGUGAUCCUAUGCUGCCGAGAAAAGCCUCUAGUGAGUUCAUACACGGCCCGUACCCCAAACCGACACAGGUGAUCAGGUAGAGAAUACCAAGGCGAUCGAGAGAACUGUGGUUAAGGAACUCGGCAAAAUGCCCCCGUAACUUCGGGAGAAGGGGGACCAUGCCCGGUGAACAUCUUCACGGUGGGAGCUGGGUGUGGUCGCAGAGACCAGAGAGAAGCGACUGUUUACUAAAAACACAGGUCCGUGCGAAGACGUAAGUCGAUGUAUACGGACUGACGCCUGCCCGGUGCUGGAAGGUUAAGAGGACCGGUUGGCCGUAAGGCGAAGCUGAGAAUUUAAGCCCCAGUAAACGGCGGUGGUAACUAUAACCAUCCUAAGGUAGCGAAAUUCCUUGUCGGGUAAGUUCCGACCUGCACGAAUGGCGUAACGACUUCUCUGCUGUCUCGACCACAGACUCGGCGAAAUUGCACUACGAGUAAAGAUGCUCGUUACGCGCGGCAGGACGAAAAGACCCCGGGACCUUUACUAUAGCUUGGUAUUGGCGUUCGAUUCGGUUUGUGUAGGAUAGGUGGGAGACUGUGAAGCAUGCACGCCAGUGUGUGUGGAGUCGUUGUUGAAAUACCACUCUGAUCGUAUUGGACGUCUAACCUCGGCCCAUGAUCUGGGUUAGGGACAGUGCCUGGUGGGUAGUUUAACUGGGGCGGUUGCCUCCUAAAGAGUAACGGAGGCGCCCAAAGGUUCCCUCAGCCUGGAUGGCAAUCAGGUGUUGAGUGCAAGUGCACAAGGGAGCUUGACUGUGAGACUGACACGUCGAGCAGGGACGAAAGUCGGGACUAGUGAUCCGGCACCGGCAAGUGGAAGCGGUGUCGCUCAACGGAUAAAAGGUACCCCGGGGAUAACAGGCUGAUCUUCCCCAAGAGUCCAUAUCGACGGGAUGGUUUGGCACCUCGAUGUCGGCUCGUCGCAUCCUGGGGCUGGAGUAGGUCCCAGGGGUUGGGCUGUUCGCCCAUUAAAGCGGCACGCGAGCUGGGUUUAGAACGUCGUGAGACAGUUCGGUCUCUAUCCGCCGCGCGCGUAAGAAACUUGAGGAAGGCUGUCCCUAGUACGGGAGGACCGGGACGGACGAACCUCUGGUGUGCCAGUUGUUCCACCAGGAGCAUGGCUGGUUAGCUACGUUCGGAAGGGAUAACCGCUGAAAGCAUCUAAGCGGGAAGCCUGUUCCAAGAUGAGGUUUCUCACCACCUUGCGUGGUUAAGGCCCCCUACAGACCAUGGGGUUGAUAGGCCGGAACUGGAAGCGCAGCAAUGCGUGGAGGUGACCGGUACUAAUAGGCCGAGGAC